AGUGAACGCCGGCGGUAGGCCUAACACAUGCAAGUCGAGCGAAAGCACAGUAAGCGCUUGCUCUUACGGGUGGCGGGUGACGGACGGGUGAGGCAUACAUCGGAUUCUACUUUUUCGUGGGUGAUAACGUAGGAACACUUCCGCUAAUACCGCAUACGUCCUACGGCAGGAAGCAGGGGAUCUUCGGGCCUUUGGCGUUUGAAUGAGACGAGGUCGGAUUAGCUAGUUGGCGUGGUAACGGCACACCAAGGCGACGAUGCGUAGCUGAGCUGAGAGGAUGAUCGGCCACACUGGAACUGAGACACGGUCCAGACUCCUACGGGAGGCAGCAGUAGGGAAUCUUGGGCAAUGGGCGAAAGCCUGAUGCAGCCACGCCGCGUGGGUGAAGAAGGCCUUCGGGUUGUAAAGCCCUUUUGUUAGGGAAGAAAAACUGUGUGUGUAUCCCUGCCCGUCUUGACGGUACCCAAAGAGUAAGCACCGGCUAACUUCGUG
This 492-nucleotide ribosomal RNA is filed under the name uncultured bacterium. RNAcentral's name for it is "partial 16S ribosomal RNA". It matches the Rfam family "Bacterial small subunit ribosomal RNA", at positions 29 to 507 of the family's 1533-position model. The record is from RNAcentral.